UCUUUGUUAGUAUAUCGGUUAGUACACGCGCCUGUCAUAAGUCUAUCGCACUCAAAUAACGCGCGAAAGCUGGGUUCGACUCCCAGACAGAGAG
Pholiota molesta is the source of this 94-nucleotide non-coding RNA. The record is from the annotation of a GenBank genome assembly. Lineage: Eukaryota; Fungi; Basidiomycota; Agaricomycetes; Agaricales; Strophariaceae.